AGCAUGGGCGAAGCCUGACCCAGCCAUGCCGCGUGCAGGAUGAAGGCCUUCUGGGUUGUAAACUGCUUUUAUCUAGGAAGAAAAAGUCCUUGCGAGGAAAACUGACGGUACUAGAUGAAUAAGCACCGGCUAACUCCGUGCCAGCAGCCGCGGUAAUACGGAGGGUGCAAGCGUUGUCCGGAUUUAUUGGGUUUAAAGGGUGCGUAGGCGGCGUAAUAAGUCCGUGGUGAAAGCCAACAGCUCAACUGUUGAACUGCCAUGGAUACUGUUAGGCUUGAGUACAGACGAGGUAGGCGGAAUGGAUCGUGUAGCGGUGAAAUGCAUAGAUACGAUCCAGAACUCCGAUUGCGAAGGCAGCUUACUAGGCUGUAACUGACGCUGAGGCACGAAAGCGUGGGGAGCGAACAGGAUUAGAUACCCUGGUAGUCCACGCUGUAAACGAUGAUAACUCGAUGUUGGCGAUACACAGUCAGCGUCUUAGCGAAAGCGUUAAGUUAUCCACCUGGGGAGUACGCCCGCAAGGGUGAAACUCAAAUGAAAUUGACGGA
Molecule: ribosomal RNA, 548 nt
Filed under: Adhaeribacter swui
Lineage: Bacteria; Pseudomonadati; Bacteroidota; Cytophagia; Cytophagales; Hymenobacteraceae
Description: bacterial SSU rRNA
Rfam family: Bacterial small subunit ribosomal RNA
Source: RNAcentral